Molecule: ribosomal RNA, 558 nt
Filed under: bacterium
Lineage: Bacteria
Description: bacterial SSU rRNA
Rfam family: Bacterial small subunit ribosomal RNA
Source: RNAcentral
UUGGUAUUGCACAAUUGGGCCGAAAGCCUGAGCAGCAACGCCGCGUGUAGGGACGACGGCCUUCGGGUUGUAAACCUCUUUUAGUAGGGAAGAAGCGAAAGUGACGGUACCUGCAGAAAAAGCACCGGCUAACUACGUGCCAGCAGCCGCGGUAAUACGUAGGGUGCAAGCGUUGUCCGGAAUUAUUGGGCGUAAAGAGCUCGUAGGCGGUUUGUCGCGUCUGCUGUGAAAACCCGAGGCUCAACCUCGGGCCUGCAGUGGGUACGGGCAGACUAGAGUGCGGUAGGGGAGAUUGGAAUUCCUGGUGUAGCGGUGGAAUGCGCAGAUAUCAGGAGGAACACCAAUGGCGAAGGCAGAUCUCUGGGCCGUAACUGACGCUGAGGAGCGAAAGCAUGGGGAGCGAACAGGAUUAGAUACCCUGGUAGUCCAUGCCGUAAACGUUGGGAACUAGAUGUGGGGACCAUUCCACGGUCUCCGUGUCGCAGCUAACGCAUUAAGUUCCCCGCCUGGGGAGUACGGCCGCAAAGGCUAAAACUUGAAGGAACUGGACGGGGGCCC